Dermacentor andersoni is the source of this 2416-nucleotide non-coding RNA. Lineage: Eukaryota; Metazoa; Arthropoda; Arachnida; Ixodida; Ixodidae. The record is from RefSeq and is a predicted model, not a curated record.
AUUCAUUAUGCAAAACAGAGGUGAGGCGUGCAGACAGGACACAAGAGUAGAGAAGUGGGCGGCGCUCGUGUUGCAUGUUUGCUUGUAAAUACUCUAUUCUUGUGUCCUGUCUGCACGCCUCACCUUCGUUUUGCAUAACGAGUGUAUCAACCCACAUAUUAAUAGCGUAGGCGUUUUAUUAACUGUGCAAUAUUUUCAACACUUCCUUGCAUGCCAUUACAUGUGGAAUAUCUUUUUUGGUCACAAAUUUGUGCAGCGAAUCUAUUUGCAUGAUCGACUUCGGGCCUGUAUAUAGGUCCGUUCACUUGCACUUGAUGCUGAGUCUUUUACAUGUAUCCAUAAACUGCAGAUAUGCAAAUCAGAUCCCUGCGAGCAUUUUCAAAAUUCAGUUAUUUUAGACAACAGGCACGUAUGCAAUACUGACAUAAUCUCAAAUACCACUAAGCAGCUGGGACACAUUUUUGUUGACCAUACUCGCAGGUAAAAUAAGUAGGUUAUGUGGACAGCUCCAGCUCAUUUUCCUUAAAUCAGUGUGUACAAGGGGUAUGCAAAAAUAAUUUUUUUCUCGCGCACCGAUUCUUUUGCUGUAUAAGCAAGAGAACCCACCACGUUAGUGUAACGUAUCUUGUACAUCACACUAAUAAGUGCUUUAAUUUACCAAGUGAGAUGAGUUACUUUUAUGGAUCAUUCAGUUAUAUCACACUGCAAGCUGCAUUCAUCAAUCUUCAAUUGGAUUUCGCAUGAAACAUGUUUCCCUUUUAUGCAGAUAUGCAAUGGCAAGCCCUUCCGUGUGUUCCAAAGGUAAAAUUUAAGCUCGAAAUUAAAGAAGACAUUUCUAGUCAUAACCAAGCAAAAAUGGUGAAUUCAGAGUAUCAGAAGCCCAAGGUACAGAAAUUAUGAGAUGUGUCGAAUGAUUUUAAGGAAAGAAUGGUAUUUGAAGAUGCAAGAUUCUUUAGUGGAAAUCAAGCAAGUCAGUAUAGGUAGAAUACUCUGAGAAAUUAUGCGAGUAAUGAGAUAGCACACAAUGGGUCAGGAAAUGCGUUGUUUUUCUGAAAAACUAAAGCUGAUGACUGUCAUAUCAUGAGUCACUUUAGCAUCAUGAGACUGCUGUUUGAUAAAUUCAGAAACAAACCAAAAAGCAAGCCACGCAAAAAUAAAAAAAAAAACUAUUUAAUGAUGCUCUCUCCACACUGGGAUAAAUAAUAAGAAACGGAUCACGUCUAAUGUAGACAUAUCAGACACCUUGUGAAACACUAAAGGAAAAGUUCAGUUUCGAGCUAUGGCACUUGCCACAUAGAUGUGGGGGGCCUUGCACCAAUAGUAAUAGUUACCACUGCAUCUAGAAAUUUAAAGCAUUCAUGCAGACAAGGAUGAUUCUUUAUAUUUUUGGCUACCGCUUCAAAUGCCUCCACUAAGUGUUACAAUGCUGCACGCAGCCAUACUAAGGAUCUCACAGCAACACUUGCAGGUAAACAGCAAAAGUGCUGGUGUAUUCUGGACACUGUCUUUGAAAACUUUUAGGCAAGAACAGUGCAAGAAACAGACAUAAGAACUGCAUUUAUUUCUAUAAUUCCCCAUUUGAAUGGCCUUUUCUUUUUCCUUCGACAAUGCCUUCGCCUAGCCACAGCAGCUCCCUCAUACAGACUCCACAAGCCAAGAGGCCGUGGAGGCAAAUGCAGACAGGCAGCACACCUCGAACAGCCACCUUGACUGCGGGUGUGUCACCCUAGUCGCCAAGGAAACAUUUGAGGGAAAGCGACAGGCAAUGUGAACAGCCACUUCUCCAUGUAAACGAUACUCUUUCUUUCGGAUGACUCCUACGUUCGCCACGCCAGCACACUUGUGCACAAAGAUGCCGCGGAGGCACGUGCAGGUCAGAGGCAAGAAGCAGUGGCACUAAUGUCGACAUUCGCCCAAUUUCUUUUUCUUACACUGAGGCAGCCAGUACACCUCGAACAGCCACCUUAACUGCGGGUGUGUUAGUAGAUUCCUGUUGUACAUAUGCUCAUAAUAAACUUGAGUAAACUUGAAGGCAAAUGGGACAUUGAUGCAUUGUUUUUUUGAACAUUUAUUGUACACAUACAAUAUAUGUUAUACUUUGCAGUGCUACAGAGCGUAUUUUGAAGCUUCCCCCUAUAUUUUGCACCUUUAAUUACGUAUGUGUUGUGUGGCCCUCAAUUCAGUUCAUGUUGUAGCAGAUGUUUUGUCUGUGUAUCGCACAUUGGCUUAAGCUCGUGAUAUCCACAUACUUCUCUCACAUAUACAAAAUAAAGUUCUAUGUAGUCCUCAGUGUUACAACAAAAAAUGAAAGUAAACAAUCCGAUCGUGGAAUUGUGUUUAUUACAGUCAUUCCUAUGACAGUUACUGACAAGUUGACAACUUGAACUGGUCAAUCCGUCCAUAGCCUCCUCUAUUU